Molecule: ribosomal RNA, 388 nt
Filed under: uncultured Glomeromycotina
Lineage: Eukaryota; Fungi; Glomeromycota
Description: SSU rRNA
Rfam family: Eukaryotic small subunit ribosomal RNA
Source: RNAcentral
AGCAGCCGCGGUAAUUCCAGCUCCAAUAGCGUAUAUUAAAGUUGUUGCAGUUAAAAAGCUCGUAGUUGAAUUUCGGGAUCAAUUUAUUGGUCGUACCUUUUGGUACGUACUGAUUUUAUUGGUUUCUCCCUUCUGACGAACCAUGAUGUCAUUAAUUUGAUGUCUUGGGGAAUCAGGACUGUUACUUUGAAAAAUUAGAGUGUUUAAAGCAGGCUCACGCUUGAAUACAUUAGCAUGGAAUAAUGAAAUAGGACGUUUAAUUCUAUUUUGUUGGUUUCUAGGAUUGACGUAAUGAUUAAUAGGGAUAGUUGGGGCAUUAGUAUUCAAUUGUCAGAGGUGAAAUUCUUGGAUUUAUUGAAGACUAACUACUGCGAAAGCAUUUUGCCAA